CUUUUAAUUUGUAAGUUGACACCACAAAACUGAAGAGAAUACCACAAAUGAAAUCAUAAAGGAGCAUUUUUUUUAAGUUUAUGUAGAGCGCUUCUCCUUGCGAAGAAUUCUCAUAACUUGUACAAAAUGUGUAAGAUGAUUUUCUCUACUCUUGCUAUAAAUUGAGAUGUCAAAUAAAUAACAUAUUAUUUUGAUAAAAUAUUGUAGUACUUGGCGCAUGAAUAUAGUAGAAGCAUAGGAAAGAUCAAAAGACAUAACGAGUCAUGCAUAAAGUAACGUUGCAGGGUACAUUUAUGUCACUGAUAUAGACGUUGUGAGGAAGAAGAUCACAUACCUCGCACCUUGCCCUGGCGAACUCCCAAGUAAACUCUUAAUUGUUGGAACUUUAACAUGGUUGGAAGGUUAACGAUGUGGGCAGUGUUUGGCUAAUGGGAGGAGGAUUAGUCUUUUAGAGUUUGCUUUUCAUCAGUUAGAUUUUGGUAAAAAUAAAUAAAUUUGUCUUUCUACUAUCAAAGGUGUUUAAAGGGCAUACUUGAUAUUAUAAAUCGGGCAUGUUUUUACUUGGUUAAUUUUUGCUCAAUUUACUUGGUCAAGCCAAUCAACUUUUUUGACUCAA
This is a long non-coding RNA of Zingiber officinale, 616 nucleotides long. RefSeq lists it as uncharacterized. The record is from RefSeq and is a predicted model, not a curated record. Lineage: Eukaryota; Viridiplantae; Streptophyta; Magnoliopsida; Zingiberales; Zingiberaceae. The transcript is spliced from 3 exons.